This 4752-nucleotide long non-coding RNA is filed under the name Homo sapiens (human). Its description in RNAcentral is "HSALNT0151490". The record is from RNAcentral. Lineage: Eukaryota; Metazoa; Chordata; Mammalia; Primates; Hominidae.
UUAAGAGAGUGUGGUCUAAAGAUUGGGAUUUUUAAGUGCCCCAGCUGGCCAAUAGGACAGAAAUGUUUAAUUCAGGGCAACUUUCCUGUUACCCUGAACCAAACCGAGAUAACUGACUGCCUUCUCUUUUCAGGCAUUCAUUUACCAGAAGAACAGGGAAUGAGCAAAAGAAAUUCUCAAAGAAUUUUUCUUUUGAUACUUACCCACACUUCCUGUGCUCUGAGUCAGACCACAGAAAUUGACAAAUAUGUGCAGAACAUCUUAGAGGAAAAAUGAGAAAUGAAGACAGAUGUCAAAACUAUGUAGAAACACAGCCGGCCAUCUUCUUAAAGACUCACUUUAACACGAAUAACAUUUAACUCCAUCGUCAACAAAACCGAACUUCCUAAAAAAUAAUUCAGCAUGGAUUUCUAUGAGCCAUGUUGACUGAAGACAGAUAACCUGGCAGAUGUGUUGACUCCAACAAAACAAGGCGAAUGUUCUCAGGUUUUGGGUAUUGUGUCUCUCUGAGGUGAUAACCACAGAGCGAGUUUCUCUGCUCUUGGUGUGAAGCAGUUUCAAAUUGUUGAACCCCAGGGUUCCUUAUAUUUGCUAUGAAUUUCCAUCACUCCUCUUCAUAGUGACAUCUAAAUGCUUCCAUUACAAGAACUAUAUUUGUUUCUUGUAAAAUACCUUUUACCUCUGGAUUCUUCAGAAUUAUGGCAUGCAGUGUGCUCAUAAACACUAUCUGAUCUCUUCCAAACACAGUUGAUCUCUCCACUGCUGGAUGCUUCCAUUUUAUCGUUCGUCAUCCACAACCAGUCUCCAUGGGGUAAAAUCAGCAAGAGACUCCGCGUGAUGUGUUCCCUUGUCUGCAAGUGGCCACAUUAAUAACCUUUUGAAGGGCUUUUUUCAUUUCCACUCUCUGGGAGGAAUUUUUUUAACCACUCAAGCCUUGGGGUCUGUUUAAACAAGAAAUUGUUUUACACUCCUGAAUGAUGCAUUCCUCUCCAGCUAUUUCUACAUAACUUCCAGGAUAUGAAAACCGCCCAAGGCUUUCCAACAUGGCUGCUUUCUUUCCUCUCAUAAACAAACUCAGCAGUAAUCAUGCCAUUGUGGUCACUCUGGGGCUUUGCAUUGCUUCAACUUUUUCCCUCAGUCUUUUGUUCUGCCAGACACUGAUUAUGACAGUUCACCCGAAUCUGGAAAGCAAGAAUGCACUCUUCUGCUGGUCUCUGGCCUUUAGCCUUUUCCUUUGUCCUCCAUGAAUAUAUGAGGCCAACAGGAGGGAUCUAGGCUCAGUAUGAUAGGCUCAAUAAUGGCUUACUGAGAUGUCAGGUUCUAAUCCCUGGAAGCUGUAAAUGUCACCUUCUAAGGAAAAUGGCUCUUUGCGGAUGUGGAUUAAGCAAAUAAUUAUACAUGGGAAGAUCAUCUUGGAUUACCUGCAUGGGCCCUAAAUGCAAUCACAUGUGCCUUAUAAGAGGGAGGCAGGGAGAAAUUUGAUACAGACAGAAAAGGAGGAGAUAAUGAGGCCAUGGAGGCACAGAGUGGAGUGAUGUUGCCACAGGCCCAGGAAUGCUGGCAGCCUCUGGAACCUGGGAGAGGCACAGAGCAGAUUCACCCCCAGAGCCUUCAGAAGGACCAAGGUCCUGCCACCACCUCAAUUCUAGUUCAGUGAAAGUGAUUUUGGACUUCUUGUCUCCAGAACUGUAAGAUAAUGAAUUCCUGUUGUUUUCAGCCACUUUAGUUAUUACAGUAGCCACAGGAAACUAAAAUGCUUGACCACCUGCAUCUGACCUUCAACAUCUCCAGCUGCAUGCAUCACUGCUGCAGAGCUCAGAGCAUCCCAGCACACACCUCCUAUGGCAUUCUUGAGGAGGUGCUGAUGCUUUUCCUUCCUCAAUUGAUCCAGAGAAUUAACAAACUUCUGUGGCAUUCUGAUGUUUUGAGAGCAAACAUGAGGAAACAAAAGCCCCAAAGGAAUAUUCAAACAUGACUUCUUUUUUUUUUUUUUUUUUUUUUUGAGACAGGGUCUCACUCCAACACGGCUCACUGCAGCCUCAACCUCCUGGGCUCAAGGGAUUCUCCUGCCUCAGCCCAUCAAGUAGCUGGGACCACAGUUGCACCUCAUGACACCUGGCUAAUUUUUUGUACUUUUUGCAGAGAUGGAGUUUCACCAUGUCGCCCAGGCUGGUCUUGAACUCCUGAGCUCAAGCAAUCCACCUGCCUUGGCCUCCCAAAGUGCUGGGAUUGUAGGCAUAAGCCACUGCGUCCAGCCGGAACAUGACUUUCUGAGCUCCACUGUAGGCUCCCAGUAAAACAUCCUUGCACCAAGCUCCCGUCUUCUUAUUGAAGCUGAAAUGUUACACAAAAUGUCUUCAAGCCACUAAACAGUCAUCAUGAUUUUAACUCAUCUGUUUGGAUUUGGACAAGUUACUUAAUUUUUCUGGGCUUCAAUUUCUUCACCAGGAGUGCUGAAUGGUGAGCCAGGAGGCUUGGGCCCCAGGACAAGAUGGCCUGGAUGCUAGGACAGGGUGACCGCUCACUCUUUGAACAGUACCUCUCUGGCCUUCUGCUUAGUGUCCCAUCUCCCAGCCAAAGGAAGGCCACUUUUCUGAGCAAGCUGGACAGUCUGAGAGGCAGUUCCUCCAGCUCUUAUGUUCAUGAAGUUGAGCUUUGGUCAGGUGGGUCUCCACACGUCUUCUCCAGCACGACAAUCCUUCAGGUAGCUGAGAUAAGGUUGGUAUAACCAGCACAACCCCAGAAAACCAUCCUUAUUGGUCAGCGUUCUCCAGAGAGGCAGAACCAACAGGAUAUGCAUACAGAGAAAGAGAAAGAUUCAUUUUAAGAAAUAGGCUUGCACAACUAUGGAGGCUUGGUGAGUUAAAAAUUUGAUGGUGGUGGCCGCUAGGCUAGAGAUGCAGGGAAGUUGCAGUUUGAGUCUGAAGGCAGUCUGCUGGCAGAAUCCGUUAUUGCUCAACAAGAUGGAAUGGGGGUGGUCAGUCUUUGCUCUGUUAAGGUCUUCAAUUGACUAGAUGAGACCCACCCACAUUAUAAAGGGAAAUCUGCUUUACCCAAAAUCCACCAAUUUAAGCAUUAAUGUCAUCCAAAAAACACCUUCACAGAAACAUCCAGAAUAAUGUUUGACCAAAUAUCCAAGUACAGUGGCCCAGCCAAGUUAAAACAUAAAAUGAACUACCACACUUUCCCACCAGACGUACAAGUCUUCACCCCCUCCACUUGUUUGCACUUAUGAAUAUCCCAAGAAGAGCAGGAGAGGGUUGUCUAUAUGGGGUGACCAGGGAGAAUGUAGGCAAUGUCUAUGGCAUCACUACAGCUAGGUGACCAACAGGUAAGAUGAAGGAUGCUAAUGAAGAUCUCACUAAGAUCCACCGAGCUGGAAUCAAGAGAAGGGGCUAGGUCUGCGCAGAUGAAGCCUCCCUUUCUCUGAAGCUCCUGGGCAUGCAAAUGAUGCAUGGUUUUUCUGAAUUUUGUUUGUUUGUUUGUUUGUUUAGCUAUCAAUUGCUGUGAAACAAACUACCCAAAACUUAGUGGCUGGUCUCUCCCAACAACCAUUUUAUCAUUGCUCAUGAUUCUGCGACCAGGAUUUCAGACAGCACACAGAGGGUGGCUUGUCUGUGUCCCAUGCAAUGUCUGCCGAGGCUAGAAUGUCCAAGAUGACUUCUUCACUCAUACAUCUGGUCCCUCAAUUAGAUCGGCUCAAGUAGCUGAAGGCUGACAGAGACACUUUAUGGGAGUCAGAAGUCUGUAGCCUCAAUUCUCACAGUUGGCUGGGUUCUUCAGUCUCCACGCAAUCUAUGGGCUUCUCUCUCUCCACAAAGUUCGAUCCUUCCAAGAUACACAAUCAGAAAUGGCCAAACCUUCUUAAAGCUGAAGUCCACACCUGGCACUGGGUCCCCUCUACCAGCAUUCUAACAGACCUCAUUUUGUCUUGAAGAUCCUUUCUUACUUCCAAAGGCAUUUGCACCUCACACUCAUUUUUCUUCCAGUACUCUCACACUGGAGUUGAUAGCCCAUUAGACCCAAAAAUCUUCCCCAAAGUGAAACUAGUUUCCCUUUCCUUGAGUUGAGAAGAUUUAAUAUCCAAAUUUUCCAGAAGGUUUGGAAGGAGAUAUUGCAUUUCAUUUUCCUUAGAAGCAUGCAUUGUUAUGGAUAUUGGGACAUCUGGACAUUCCAUUGUCAUAGGAGUGUGUCCUUGCAGGUAUCAUCAAGCUGUUUUCUGAACUGUAAACAUCUUAGGGCUGUGGGUUGUGACCAGCAAGGAAUGUGCCUUAUUAGUGUCAAGAUGGAGCUGAACUUCAAAUGACGUGACUCUGACUCUCCUAUGCUCUUGUUUCCCUAACAGUCUGACAAGGUUAACCUUCAAGGACUGCAUCAGGAAUUGGUCACAGUGCUUAGCAACAGGUUCUCUUCACUCUUGUCAUUUACAUAUAGACGACAGCUAAUAUUCAAAUCCGUGUAGGCAAACCCACAGUUGAUUAAAUUAAAUCUCUUCUCUAGCUUGAUUUGCAUAACUUGAAAUAAUCAGAAUAGAGAGUGAAUGCAUAAUUGAAAAGAGAAAAUACGUACUGCAGCUAUUUGAAACUAGAUGUCGUUGAAUUAAGCUUGUAAAUUCUGAUAGUACUGAAUGUACAACUGUUCUAGGCUAACUUUACAUUUGAAAUGUUAAGAAAUGUGAGUUGUGAACUGGAAAGUUAAUUAACAAACAAAAUCUUAGAAUAUUGCACUUUGUUAUGGCAGCCCUAGAAAUAA